RNAcentral lists this ribosomal RNA (488 nucleotides) under uncultured bacterium. Its description in RNAcentral is "partial 16S ribosomal RNA". It matches the Rfam family "Bacterial small subunit ribosomal RNA", at positions 28 to 507 of the family's 1533-position model. The record is from RNAcentral.
GACGAACGCUGGCGGCGUGCUUAACACAUGCAAGUCGAACGGAAAGGCCCUGCUUUUGUGGGGUGCUCGAGUGGCGAACGGGUGAGUAACACGUGAGUAACCUGCCCUUGACUUUGGGAUAACUUCAGGAAACUGGGGCUAAUACCGGAUAGGAGCUCCUGCUGCAUGGUGGGGGUUGGAAAGUUUCGGCGGUUGGGGAUGGACUCGCGGCUUAUCAGCUUGUUGGUGGGGUAGUGGCUUACCAAGGCUUUGACGGGUAGCCGGCCUGAGAGGGUGACCGGGCACAAUGGAACUGAGACAGGGUGCAGAGUCCGACGGGAGGCAGAGGAGGGGAAGAGUGGGCAAGGGGCGGAAGCAGGAGGGAGCAAGGCGGAGGGAGUGAGGAAGGCCUUAGGGUGGGAAAGAACGGUUGUUGGGGAAGAACAGAUGUAGGGGAAACAGAGGCGGUCUGGGCGGUACCUAAAGAAAAAGCCACGGCUAACAGCGUG